This 747-nucleotide long non-coding RNA is filed under the name Nicotiana benthamiana. RNAcentral's name for it is "long non-coding RNA (NBEN_LNC016383)". Lineage: Eukaryota; Viridiplantae; Streptophyta; Magnoliopsida; Solanales; Solanaceae. The record is from RNAcentral.
AAUGAUUACAACCCGAGUGGAAGAUACAUCAUCUCGGAGCUCUGGAACUAUGCAGUAAAUCAGAAGGCUACUUUGGAGGAGGGAGUUACUGUGUUGCUAAACCUGUGGAAACGGAAGAGAGGACCAGACUGAGAGUUUGAUGCUUCCGUGCGCUUUACCUAAGCUCUUUAGGCAGCCCUGGUAGCACGGGGAGAAAGAGGGAGGGAAGUGAUAACGAGAGACAAGUACUAAGAAGAGAUGACCAGACUGAGUUUGAUGCUUCCGUGCGCUUUACCUUAGCUCUUUAGGCAGCCCUGGUAGCACGGGGGUGGGGUGGGGUGGUAAGUGAUAACGAGAGACAACUACUUUAAACUCAAAACAACAAUUUGAACCAUGUUGCAUGGAUUCUUGUCUGAAUAAGAAUUAAGAUGCGCCUCUGUUUGUUAGGCCUGUCUUUAUCCUUUUAUUUUUGGCUUGAGCUCGAAGGGUAUAAUGCUCUUCCUCUUGACUGAAUUUGGUCUUCCUUUGCAGAUCAGGCUGAAUUUUGCCUGGUAGCGAGGAUGCAUAAAUAUGCUUGAGCCUAUCACUUUAUUUAUUUAUUUAUUUUUUUAAAAUUCAUUCUACCGACAACCUGAAAGGCUAAGUUGGCAGUUAAAAAGAAUUGAGACAACGAGGCAUCCGUUUCAAGCUUAAAGGCCUGUAAGUUUUCAUUUGCCCAAGUUACUAAAAUAUAAUUAGUUUCACUUUCACAUUUUUCAUGGAUAUUGC